RNA transcript from Pangasianodon hypophthalmus (striped catfish), 4712 nucleotides. It is a transcript of the gene named actin binding LIM protein 1b, with no coding region annotated. Lineage: Eukaryota; Metazoa; Chordata; Actinopteri; Siluriformes; Pangasiidae. The record is from RefSeq and is a predicted model, not a curated record. The transcript is spliced from 27 exons.
UUAUCAUUAUCCCUUUGCAUUGACUGCGUAAGAGAUUUAAUAGGUGCAUUCUAGCUAGCUAUGAUGUUAGCCUUCAUGUUUUGCAUUAGUUUGGCUUUACAUUUCCGAAGGUCAGUAUCAAUGGCGUUCUUACAACUUUAACCACUUGAACAGCAAGUGUAUUUUUUGUUUGCCUAGCAGUUUCAUAUUUUUAUUACAUAUUCAGUCAAGAUCUCAUAGGCCUAUAAUAAUAAUAAUAGUGAAUUUCUUUGGUUUAUGUAAAUCUCAACCAGCAGUGUGUUUACCAGUGUGUGGACAACUUACGGCUUUGUCUAGACUAUUAUUAAAAUGAUUGAUUGAGCGAUCAGCUUGGAAGGAAAAUAACAUUAGAAUACACAGCUUUGUAAUCUUCUUAAAGAGUUCCCUAAUGAAAGAGCUUAAACUUGGUUAUGUGUCUUUCUCAGAGCAGUGCUGCUUGUCUUGCCGUGUGUGGACACCAAGUCAUCAGUCAUGACUCGGGCUGGCCCAGGUGCUCUGUUAGCCCUCAUGGGAAGAUAGUCACUAAAAAUACAUCAGCCCUAAGCUGCUUAUAGCAUCCAGGAAUGAGCUCACUGUAGCAGCUCAGAGUUGCUUUGCCAAUAAAUGCAGCAUCUCUUCACAUCCGAGGAGAAGCACUACAUGCACCACAUGUGGCUCUGCCCUCCUCGGACUCUAUAGUCCUGGUGUAGUGAGUUGUAUCCGAGUGCUGUGUGGUGUUUUCCCCACCCACUAGUGUAUAAUCUGCAUCAUCUGGUAGAAGACCUCACCAUGCCCAACCUGAGCUCCCUGGGCAAGCUGUGUGGCUCCAGCCACAGCGAUGACAUCAUUAUUCAGGACCAGGUCAAGCGCAAGAACUCUGUGCGCCGCAUGUCUAUCAUUGAGGAUGGGAAUGUGGCCGAAGUGCUCUACCUCAUUCCCAAACAGUCAAUGAUGGAGCAACUGCCCUUCCUUGACCCUAGCGAGUAUGUGAUCCUGGAGAAGAUGGCACCUCCUCACAUAAGAUCCGUGGCCCAUCCUCAGGAAGCACACCGGCCCCCGGAGAAAGUGGUCAUCCAGUGUUACAAAUGCGGGGAGCCAUGCAAGGGGGAGGUGCUGCGCGUGCAGAGCAAGCAUUUCCACAUCAAAUGCUUCACCUGCAAAGUGUGUGGCUGCGACCUGGCCCAAGGUGGUUUCUUCAUGAAGAACGGUGAGUAUCUGUGCACGGUGGACUACCAAAGGCUGCAUGGAACACGCUGCCAUGGCUGUGGGAACUUUGUUGAAGGAGAGGUGGUGACGGCGCUCGGGAAGACCUACCACCCCACCUGCUUCGUCUGCACCAUCUGCAAACGGCCAUUUCCUGCUGGAGACCGUGUCACCUUCAAUGGAAAGGACUGUCUCUGCCAGAGCUGCAUCCAGCCAAUGUCUCCUCCUCCCAAAGACAUCAGUGCUUCCAGCAACUGUGCAGGCUGUGGCAGGGACAUUAAAAAUGGACAGGCUCUGCUAGCUUUGGACAGACAGUGGCAUCUCGGCUGCUUCAAGUGCAAGGCCUGCGGCAAAGUGCUGAGUGGCGAGUACAUCAGCAAGGAUGGUGCACCAUACUGCGAGAGAGACUACCAGAUCCACUUUGGUGUGCAGUGUGAAGCCUGUCAUCAGUAUAUAACAGGGAGGGUUCUGGAGGCAGGCGAUAAACACUACCACCCCAGCUGUGCACGAUGCAGCCGGUGCAACCAGAUGUUCACAGAGGGGGAGGAGAUGUACCUGCAAGGCUCUACAGUGUGGCAUCCAGACUGUAAGAGCAACAUCAAAGUAGAAGAGAAGUACAGGGAAGCAGGACAGCGACCUGGCAGAAAGCCCCGUCCUUUUGAUAUCUUUUUGCCCCUGUCUAAGUGUGAGUCUCAGUGUAAGACGAAGGGCCAGGGUGGCUCUGCUCGAGGCGUGCGUCCCCUGCGCAGGACGGAGCUUCUCCCUCCCUCUGUAACCUCACUGCACCAAUCAGAAAGGCAGCCCACAAGGUCUUCGUCGGAGAGUAUCUGUUCUCGGCCGGGUUCCAGCAUCCCUGGCUCUCCUGGUCACACCAUCUAUGCAAAAGUAGACAAUGAGAUCAUUGAUUACAAGGACCUAGCAGCCAUCCCCCGAGUCAAGGCCAUUUAUGACAUAGAGCGUCCAGACAUGAUAUCCUACGAGUCUCUGCACUCCACCUCCUCUACCCUGGAGAGACAGGGCAGACAAAGCCCUGGAGAGUGCCAGACUACUACAGGUGACCAAUCCCCCAUCAGAGGCCAUAUUAAAACCAUGCCACAAGACCCUUCCCCCAUGUCAGCUGAGACUUCACCAAGAACACUGUCUCCUACCCCAUCUGCUGAGGGCUGUUAUGACAUUCGAGAACGAAUCAUGCAACGAUCCACCAGCCAGGGCUCCAUCGGCUCCCCGAUGUACAGCCGACACAACUACACACCUACACUGUCUAAGACACCGCAGCACUUCCACAGACCAGGAAUGCUGAAGCUCUGCUCCUCUUUGCGCUCUAGCAACAGUGACAACCGUCCUACUUCCCCUUUCCGACAUCACUUCCUACCCCAUAACAAAGAUUCUUUCUGCAUAGGCACUGAGCCGUCGAGUGGCCGGAGUUCUCCCUUGUCCUCUCGCUCGGCCACCCCGACCCUCUGUCUGACCCCUAAACAUUUCCACAUCCCAGACCAAGGCAUGAACAUGUACAGAAAGCCACCAAUCUACAAACAACAUGCUGCCCUCGCAGCCCAAAGCAAGUUUGCUGGCGACAUCAUCAAAUCUUCCAAGUUCCCUGCUGCUCAAGCUCCCCGGCCGGAUGAAACAGCAAAGAUUGAGACUGACUACUGGCCCUGCCCUCCCUCCCUUGCAGCCCUAGGUUCAGAUAUGAGGAGUCGCUCACGAGAUGAAGAGGAGGAGGAACAAUUAAAACGAAGACAACUCCAAGAAGAUCAUCUUAGCAAGAUCCAGUCUGGUCUUGGAAAGCUCAUUUUGAAGGAGGAGAUGGAGAAGGAAAUGAACAGAGAGAGAUAUGCUCGCAGUGUGGCAGCCCAGCGGUACGAGCCUCAGCACUCCAACUUCACCGCAGAUCCCAACUCUCCCACGUCUAAAACCUCUUCACUGCCAGGAUAUGGACGCAACGGCCUUCUUCGGUCAACAGAAUUCUCUCAGUAUAACAGUUACGGGGAUGUGUGUGGAGGGCAGAGAGAUUUCAAGGUACGUGAAUGAUACAGACUAUAACCUGAUCAGCUGCACUGAGCAUGAGCAUCAGCCAUCAUGUACAUGAGAAUGUGGACUCAUGCUCCAUGUGACACCCUGCUACGCUUGUGCCUGAGUUACAAACAGCUCAGGCAAGGGGGGGAGCAUGGACAAGGGAUUUCAUCAUUACAUACGCACAUCCUGAGAAGUUUGUACAUAGCCAUAGUUAGAUUAAAGGAGUAACCGUUAUCCCCAUGGGUAGGGUAGCUAAAGUCUUACUCCCUCCUCAUAGUAUCAGAUAAAGUAAAGUAGGUGUUUGUCUUUAGUUGUGAAGUCUUUCCCAUGGUUCCUUUUCCUACCAAUCCUCUUUUUGUUUCUUUUUCAUUUACAUUGCAUGUAUGUGUUCUGUUCUAUAGCUCGUCCACGAUGGCCAGGUUCCCCUAACCAGAAUGGACAGGGGAAUGUCAAUGCCUAACAUGUUGGACCAUAAAGCAAGUAUCCCAUGUGUUUUUGUUUGUUUUGUUUUGCUUUUGUGAGAAUUACAUUUCUCCUCUCUCUCUGAUUUAGAUGGUGUUCCUUCUUGUUCUGUUAACAUCCACCCCCCUAACACCCAGAUUAUUCGUUAGAGUAAAGUAGGUUAUCUUGGCACAGCCUCACAGGUUAUAGGCAGUGAGAUGAAGGGAGAAGACUAGAGCCUUCCAGUGCUGUGAAAUGAUGUAAUGAUAUGCUUUGCUGUGUCUGAGCUGUACACAUUUUUCCAGAUCAUUGAUCCCCACCUUUCCUAAAUCUGGCUGAAGAGGCUUAAGAGCUGCAUGUUCUUGGUUUCUUUAAAGGUGCUGCUAUAGUCCCCACAAUCUUAACAUGAUCAUUCAUUGUUCCAUAUUUUAUUGUGUUAAUUAAAGGAAUAAUAUUCCUAGUAGAAAAGAUAUAUGUCCUCCAUCCAGUGUUAAAAUUGGAAUGACAUAGCAGAUUCACUUCGUUUUUAUUUGGACAUGAUGAUUUUAAUAACAUCUACACAUCAUUUUAUCUUAAUUUGGCCAUUUUCACUUUAUGUCCUCUUCUCACUUUGUGAUUUUAUUUUGGAAGUGAUGUGACACGCUGAAAAUAUUUUUCUUUUAAAGGUAUUCACACAGAAUUCACAAAAAAUGUUUAUGCCCCAGUCUGCUUUUACCCUUUUCUCUCCCUUUUCUCCCCGAUCUCUGUGCAGUUUAGCAUUUUGUCUGUUUUCGUCUCUGUGUGUGACUGAAUGGUUGUGUUCUCAGCAUGUGCAUUUGUCCAGCUUUGCUUUUCAGUAAUUCAUUGUCUUUGGCAAAUGUCUUGCAUUGCAUUCUCCAUAACAAGACAAUCCCUCCUUUUGUAAAGGUGUAUCCCUAUGAAAUGCUCACUGUCACCAACAGAGGGCGUACUAAGCUCCCAAAGGACGUGGACAGGACGAGACUGGAGCGUCACCUGGCCCCUGAAGUAUUCUUUGAUGUCUUUGGAAUGGAGAUCCAAGAGUUUGACAAACUUCC